RNAcentral lists this ribosomal RNA (363 nucleotides) under uncultured bacterium. RNAcentral describes it as "bacterial SSU rRNA". It matches the Rfam family "Bacterial small subunit ribosomal RNA", at positions 527 to 892 of the family's 1533-position model. The record is from RNAcentral.
GGAGGGUGCAAGCGUUAUCCGGAUUUACUGGGUUUAAAGGGUGCGUAGGUGGGUAGGUAAGUCAGUGGUGAAAUCUUCGAGCUUAACUCRGAAACUGCCAUUGAUACUAUUUAUCUUGAAUAAUCUGGAGGUAAGCGGAAUAUGUCAUGUAGCGGUGAAAUGCUUAGAUAUGACAUAGAACACCAAUUGCGAAGGCAGCUUACUACAUAGUUAUUGACACUGAGGCACGAAAGCGUGGGGAUCAAACAGGAUUAGAUACCCUGGUAGUCCACGCCCUAAACGAUGGAUACUCGACAUCAGCGAUACACUGUUGGUGUCUGAGCGAAAGCAUUAAGUAUCCCACCUGGGAAGUACGAUCGCAAG